Molecule: ribosomal RNA, 473 nt
Filed under: uncultured bacterium
Lineage: Bacteria
Description: bacterial SSU rRNA
Rfam family: Bacterial small subunit ribosomal RNA
Source: RNAcentral
ACUCCUACGGGAGGCAGCAGUGGGGAAUAUUGCACAAUGGGCGCAAGCCUGAUGCAGCCAUGCCGCGUGUAUGAAGAAGGCCUUCGGGUUGUAAAGUACUUUCAGCAGUGAGGAAGGCGGAGUCGUUAAUAGCGGCCUCGUUUGACGUUAGCUGCAGAAGAAGCACCGGCUAACUCCGUGCCAGCAGCCGCGGUAAUACGGAGGGUGCGAGCGUUAAUCGGAAUUACUGGGCGUAAAGCGCAUGCAGGUGGUUUGUUAAGUCAGAUGUGAAAGCCCGGGGCUCAACCUCGGAAUUGCAUUUGAAACUGGCAGACUAGAGUACUGUAGAGGGGGGUAGAAUUUCAGGUGUAGCGGUGAAAUGCGUAGGGAUCUGAAGGAAUACCAGUGGCGAAGGCGGCCCCCUGGACAAAGACUGACGCUCAGAUGCGAAAGCGUGGGGAGCAAACAGGAUUAGAUACCCUGGUAGCGUCGUC